UUGCUAAACUUUUCUAAGGUCCUUCUAUUGGACCCUUUUUAUGCCAUUUGAUAGUAUCUCUCUUUUGCAUUGCUGAGUUACUGAAACUGACCUAUGUGACUACCAUGUUUCUAUAGUCUACUACUUACUGAUUUUGCAAUUGCACGAUAUUUUUCUUUGUCCUAAAGUCAGGCUAGCACACUUGUGUGCUCUUUAUAUGUGCUGAACCGC
This 210-nucleotide long non-coding RNA is filed under the name Nicotiana benthamiana. Its description in RNAcentral is "long non-coding RNA (NBEN_LNC016960)". Lineage: Eukaryota; Viridiplantae; Streptophyta; Magnoliopsida; Solanales; Solanaceae. The record is from RNAcentral.